AUUGAACGCUGGCGGCAUGCUUUACACAUGCAAGUCGAACGGUAACAGGGUGCUUGCACCGCUGACGAGUGGCGAACGGGUGAGUAAUGCGUCGGAACGUGCCGAGUAGUGGGGGCUAACGCAGCGAAAGUUGUGCUAAUACCGCAUACGUACUGAGGUAGAAAGUGGGGGACCUUCGGGCCUCACGCUAUUCGAGCGGCCGACGUCUGAUUAGCUAGUAGGUGAGGUAAAGGCUCACCUAGGCGACGAUCAGUAGCGGGUCUGAGAGGAUGAUCCGCCACACUGGGACUGAGACACGGCCCAGACUCCUACGGGAGGCAGCAGUGGGGAAUUUUGGACAAUGGGCGAAGGCCUGAUCCAGCCAUGCCGCGUGUCUGAAGAAGGCCUUCGGGUUGUGAAGGACUUUUGUCAGGGAGGAAAUCCCUAGUGCUAAUAACACUGGGGGAUGACAGUACCUGAAGAAUAAGCACCGGCUAACUACGUGCCAGCCGCCGCGGUAA
RNAcentral lists this ribosomal RNA (500 nucleotides) under uncultured bacterium. Its description in RNAcentral is "partial 16S ribosomal RNA". It matches the Rfam family "Bacterial small subunit ribosomal RNA", at positions 30 to 523 of the family's 1533-position model. The record is from RNAcentral.